AGUGAACGCUGGCGGUAGGCCUAACACAUGCAAGUCGAACGGCAGCACAGUAAGAGCUUGCUCUUACGGGUGGCGAGUGGCGGACGGGUGAGGAAUACAUCGGAAUCUACUUUUUCGUGGGGGAUAACGUAGGGACACUUACGCUAAUACCGCAUACGACCUACGGGUGAAAGCAGGAGAUCUUCGGACCUUUCGCGAUUGAAUGAGCCGAUGUCGGAUUAGCUAGUUGGCGGGGUAAAGGCCCACCAAGGCGACGAUCCGUAGCUGGUCUGAGAGGAUGAUCAGCCACACUGGAACUGAGACACGGUCCAGACUCCUACGGGAGGCAGCAGUGGGGAAUAUUGGACAAUGGGCGCAAGCCUGAUCCAGCCAUACCGCGUGAGUGAAGAAGGCCUUCGGGUUGUAAAGCCCUUUUGUUGGGAAAGAAAAGCAGCAGGUUAAUACCCCGCUGUUCUGACGGUACCCAAAGAAUAAGCACCGGCUAACUUCGUG
Molecule: ribosomal RNA, 492 nt
Filed under: uncultured bacterium
Lineage: Bacteria
Description: partial 16S ribosomal RNA
Rfam family: Bacterial small subunit ribosomal RNA
Source: RNAcentral